GAUGAACGCUGGCGGCGUGCCUAAUACAUGCAAGUCGAGCGAACAGACGAGGAGCUUGCUCCUCUGACGUUAGCGGCGGACGGGUGAGUAACACGUGGAUAACCUACCUAUAAGACUGGGAUAACUUCGGGAAACCGGAGCUAAUACCGGAUAAUAUAUUGAACCGCAUGGUUCAAUAGUGAAAGACGGUUUUGCUGUCACUUAUAGAUGGAUCCGCGCCGCAUUAGCUAGUUGGUAAGGUAACGGCUUACCAAGGCGACGAUGCGUAGCCGACCUGAGAGGGUGAUCGGCCACACUGGAACUGAGACACGGUCCAGACGCCUACGGGAGGCAGCAGUAGGGAAGCUUCCGCAAUGGGCGAAAGCUUGACGGAGCAACGCCGCGUGAGUGAUGAAGGUCUUCGGAUCGUAAAACUCUGUUAUUAGGGAAGAACAAAUGUGUAAGUAACUAUGCACGUCUUGACGGUACCUAAUCAGAAAGCCACGGCUAACUACGUG
RNAcentral lists this ribosomal RNA (497 nucleotides) under uncultured bacterium. RNAcentral's name for it is "partial 16S ribosomal RNA". It matches the Rfam family "Bacterial small subunit ribosomal RNA", at positions 28 to 507 of the family's 1533-position model. The record is from RNAcentral.